Molecule: non-coding RNA, 72 nt
Organism: Chytriomyces sp. MP71
Lineage: Eukaryota; Fungi; Chytridiomycota; Chytridiomycetes; Chytridiales; Chytriomycetaceae
Source: the annotation of a GenBank genome assembly
GCCCUUAUAGCUCAGCGGCAGAGCGUUCGCCUCGUAAGCGAAAGGCCCGUGGUUCAAUCCCGCGUGAGGGCA